AGAGUUUGAUCCUGGCUCAGAAUGAACGCUGGCGGCGUGCUUAACACAUGCAAGUCGCACGAGAAAUCUUUAGCUUGCUAGAGAGAGUAAAGUGGCGAACGGGUGAGUAACGCGUGGGUAAUCUGCCCUCGAAUUUGGGAUAACAUUGCGAAAGCGAUGCUAAUACCGGAUAAUAUCCUUAUUUCUUUGGCGAUGAGGAUCAAAGGUGGCCUCUACAUGUAAGCUCUGUUUGGGGAUGAGCCCGCGUACCAUUAGCUUGUUGGCAGGGUAAUGGCCUACCAAGGCAACGAUGGUUAGCUGGUCUGAGAGGAUGAUCAGCCACACUGGAACUGACACACGGUCCAGACUCCUACGGGAGGCAGCAGUGAGGAAUUUUGCGCAAUGGGGGAAACCCUGACGCAGCAACGCCGCGUGAGUGAAGAAGGCUUUAGGGUCGUAAAGCUCUGUCAAGUGGGAAGAACCCGCCUUAACAUAACAGGUUAUGGCGCUGACGGUACCACUGAAGGAAGCACCGGCUAACUCCGUGCCAGCAGCCGCGGUAAUACGGGGGGUGCAAGCGUUAUUCGGAAUCAUUGGGCGUAAAGAGCGCGUAGGCGGUCUUGUUAGUCAGAUGUGAAAGCCCGGGGCUCAACCCCGGAAGUGCAUUUGAUACUGCAGGACUUGAGUAUGGGAGAGGGAAGUGGAAUUCCUGGUGUAGAGGUGAAAUUCGUAGAUAUCAGGAGGAACACCGGUGGCGAAGGCGACUUCCUGGACCAAUACUGACGCUGAGGCGCGAAGGCGUGGGUAGCAAACAGGAUUAGAUACCCUGGUAGUCCACGCAGUAAACGGUGAUCACUAGGUGUAGCGGGUAUUGACCCCUGCUGUGCCGCAGUUAACGCAUUAAGUGAUCCGCCUGGGGAGUACGAUCGCAAGAUUAAAACUCAAAGGAAUUGACUGGGGCCCGCACAAGCGGUGGAGCAUGUGGUUUAAUUCGACGCAACGCGAAGAACCUUACCUGGAUUUGACAUCUCGGGAAUUUUGUAGAAAUACGAAAGUGCCCUUCGGGGAACCCGAAGACAGGUGCUGCAUGGCUGUCGUCAGCUCGUGUCGUGAGAUGUUGGGUUAAGUCCCGCAACGAGCGCAACCCCUAUCUUUAGUUACCAUCAUUCAGUUGGGGACUCUGAAGAUACUGCCCCGGUUAACGGGGAGGAAGGUGGGGAU
This 1200-nucleotide ribosomal RNA is filed under the name metagenome. Its description in RNAcentral is "bacterial SSU rRNA". It matches the Rfam family "Bacterial small subunit ribosomal RNA", at positions 8 to 1180 of the family's 1533-position model. The record is from RNAcentral.